Molecule: ribosomal RNA, 468 nt
Filed under: uncultured bacterium
Lineage: Bacteria
Description: partial 16S ribosomal RNA
Rfam family: Bacterial small subunit ribosomal RNA
Source: RNAcentral
GACGAACGCUGGCGGCGUGCUUAACACAUGCAAGUCGAACGGAAAGGCCCUGCUUUUGUGGGGUGCUCGAGUGGCGAACGGGUGAGUAACACGUGAGUAACCUGCCCUUGACUUUGGGAUAACUUCAGGAAAGUGGGGCUAAUACCGGAUAGGAGCUACUGCUGCAUGGUGGGGGUUGGAAAGUUUCGGCGGUUGGGGAUGGACUCGCGGCUUAUCAGCUUGUUGGAGGGGUAGUGUCUUACCAAGGCUUUGACGGGUAGCCGGCCUGAGAGGGUGACCGGCCACGUUGGGCCUGGGAUACGGCCCGGACUCCUACGGGAGGCAGCAGUGGGGAAUAUUGCACUAUGGGCGGAAGCCUGAUGCAGCAACGCCGCGUGCGGGAUGACGGCCUUCGGGUUGUAAUCCGCUUUCGCCUGUGACGAAGCGUGAGUGACGGUAAUGGGUAAAGAAGCACCGGCUAACUACGUG